Molecule: ribosomal RNA, 386 nt
Filed under: Chondria crassicaulis
Lineage: Eukaryota; Rhodophyta; Florideophyceae; Ceramiales; Rhodomelaceae
Description: bacterial LSU rRNA
Rfam family: Bacterial large subunit ribosomal RNA
Source: RNAcentral
CCCUAUGAAGCUUUACUGUAGCUUGGGAUUGACUUUGGGUUUACUCUGCGCAGAAUAGGUGGGAGGCUAAGAUGCUAUAUUUGAGGAUAUAGAAGAGCCAACAGUGAGAUACCACUCUGAUUAAACUAGAAUUCUAAUCUUGAUGCCGUUAACCGGCCAAGAGACAGUUCCUGGUGGGCAGUUUGACUGGGGCGGUCGCCUCCUAAAAAGUAACGGAGGCGUGCAAAGGUUUUCUCAGGCUGGUCGGAAAUCAGUCGUAGAGUGUAAAGGCAUAAGAAAGCUUGACUGUGAGACCUACAAGUCGAGCAGAGACGAAAGUCGGCCUUAGUGAUCCGACAGUUCUGAGUGGAAAGGCUGUCGCUCAACGGAUAAAAGUUACUCUAGGG